AUGGGGGGCGGCCACUCCCACCUCGUCCACCCCGGCCACGGCGCCCUCAGGCGCGCGGCGUGCGGCUCCGCCGGGGCGGCGUGCGGCCUCUGCGGCGGCCGCGUCAGGAUCGGCGAGAUGGCCUACCGCUGCGCCGCCGCCGAGUGCACGGCCUUCUUCCUCCACGACGCCUGCUACCGCUACCCGGAGAGGAUCAAGGCCAAGGGCCACUUCUCGGCCGGCCACAGCCUCGCCCUCACCGCCCGCGCCGACGUCGCCGGCGGCGCCUGCACGGUCUGCAGCAAGUCCAGGCACCUCGCCUGCGGCACCGGCGGCUUCCGCGCGCACCCGCGCUGCGGCAACCUCCUGCCCCAGGCCGGCGCGCCGUCGCACCCGCACCAGCUCGUCCUGCGAGCGCCCGACGGCGGCGGCGGCGUUCGCAGAUGCGUCGAGUGCAACGCCGUCGCCGGCGCUGGCGCCGGCGGCGGCAGGCAGGUGGUGCGGGCGUGGUCGUACCAGUGCCAGACGUGCCCGGACAGGGAGCUCUGCCUCGCCUGCGCGCUCGGCCGCGACGGCGUCCCGCCGUGCUGCUGCUGUGGCCAAUGCGUGUGCGGCGGCGGCUGCUUCGUCGGCUGCGCCGGGUUGGCGGGCAACGCCAUGGGACACUUCAUCCAUGAACUCUUCCGUGGAUGCACUGGACUUAGUUUCAAGUCGGCGAUGGGCACUGCAAGACCACCAGCUUGAAUUAAUACGU
Molecule: long non-coding RNA, 733 nt
Filed under: Oryza sativa Indica Group (long-grained rice)
Lineage: Eukaryota; Viridiplantae; Streptophyta; Magnoliopsida; Poales; Poaceae
Description: lncRNA OsZS97_08G023300
Source: RNAcentral